UCUCCUGCAGUGUGAAGUAGCUCUCAGAAUCUCCCUAUUGCAAUCUGCUAAGACAAAGAAUUGCUGCAUCCUGGAGAUACGUACUUCCUGUAGAAUCAGAACUGGCUAACAGACUAGCAUGUGAAGUCUCUGAUUCUGGCAUGAAUCACAGCUCUUUGCCAUCCAGCUCUUCCCUGAGGUCUGCAUGGCUAGCAGUCAACCAGAGCAUGCUAUAAAGAGCAGAGGCAUUCAUCCAAGGAAGC
Molecule: long non-coding RNA, 242 nt
Organism: Gymnogyps californianus (California condor)
Lineage: Eukaryota; Metazoa; Chordata; Aves; Accipitriformes; Cathartidae
Exons: 3
Source: RefSeq, a predicted model, not a curated record